Crotalus tigris (Tiger rattlesnake) is the source of this 5185-nucleotide RNA transcript. It is a transcript of the gene named solute carrier family 25 member 51, with no coding region annotated. The transcript is spliced from 4 exons. The record is from RefSeq and is a predicted model, not a curated record. Lineage: Eukaryota; Metazoa; Chordata; Lepidosauria; Squamata; Viperidae.
CUAACAAGCAAAUAAGACACUUCAUCUCUUUUCCUUCUUGUAAAUCAUUUUUGUUGUGUAUUUAUCAUUUCCUGAGCACCAUAUAAAUAAUGUAAUGGAUUGUGUGAUUUCAUGGCUCUUUAAAGACUAACAUUAUUAUAGUGUCUGCAGUUGCUUGCAUGUGCAUCCAUUUCAACAGAUGCCUUAAGCAAGGGCAGGAGUCCCUUAUUUCUUUGACUGACUGAUCUGCAGAAGUAGUGUAGAGAUUUUCUUAUCUAUUAAACAAGAAUCCACACCCAAACAGCCUUUUAAGGAGCCAACCUGCUAAUGCUACAUCACUUCCUAACAGGGGUCCCCAAACUCUUAAGCUCAUCCAACCCUUUAUGAAGCUUCAGAUUGUUCCACACUCAAACAUUAUAUUUAAUAAAUAAUACUUUAACUAAUAUGACUACAAAUAAUAAUUUAAAAAGUCUGGCUAGUGGAUGUGGCAGUGCCUGGAGAAGGCAGAAUAGAAGAGAAAGAACUGGAGAAGAUAACAAAAUACAAACACCUGCAAACAGAACUAGAACAACUGGAAAAAGAAAGCAAAGCUAGUACCAAUACCAAUAGGUGCCACGGGUGCAACUCCAAAACAACUAUAGCAUCACUUGUACACCAUCAGCAUUGACAAAUUCAAUUGCAGCUUUACUGGGAACAGCUUAUAUUCUCAGAUGAUUCAUCUUUAACACGAUAAAACACCCACAUCUGCCUCUCCCAGGUCCUUGGGAAGGGCUCCGAUAAGUGGAUAAAAAUGCCAUAUCCAGUCUGAACAUCUGGCUGACUUCUGUGAUGAACCAUCAUAGUAAGACAACUCAAGGCUGCUCUAGCUAGUGGCGGACCAUCCAACCCUGGGUAACAGUUUCGUUUCUAGCCACCUUUUUUCAGGAUUAGGGACUGGAGUUUUACAGAGCCUCCCCCCCAAAUAACUGACCCAAUGACGUCUCAUCACUUAUCGAUCAAUUACUGAUCCCCUCUCUUUUGUCUCCCGGCCUUUUAAUGAUGCUUGGAGAUCGAUACUGAUCACUGGGGAGCCCUGUAAUCUGUCACUACUUUCAUCCUUCAAGGAUAGGACUGGUGGGGAACCCGCGAAAGAGUCGCCUGAAUUUUCUGUAUUUGCCUUUAACCUUCUCCAGCGCCGCCUCCAGUCAGACAAAACAGGAAGCCCUUUUCUCCCUUGCCUCCCUUCCUCCAGUCAAGGCAUUCGCUUAGAGCGGUCCCGACCCAGCCCGCCUUCUUCCUGGAAGGAGAAGCAGCCCAAGGGAGCCUCCUCUACUUUUAUUAGUUCUUGAGCCAGAAGCGCGAACCCGGCCUUCCGCCGAAGGCGAGUUGAGCGGAUUGGAGGACGCCGGUCACGUGCUCCCUCACUUGGUUGGCGUCAUUCGUCUCUGCGGCGCGGAGAGGGCGUGACGAAGGGACGCGGCUGCCCGGCCGGCCCGGGGUCUUUCGUCACAUUUUUCAGCCCGCUGCGCCGCAAGUCGCUCAGGUCUGCCUGGUUUGUAACGUGCACGUGAGGAGAAGCGAUGUCGCCGCCGGCGGGAUGAAGCCAGCGCGGGUCAGUGAAUUGGCGGGGAUUGGUCAGGAGUAGCUCAGGCAGAACAGUUUGAAGACCUGCUCCAGAAUGCUACUUAUACAGAGAAAACCUUGUUUUGUAUCAUAUAGGAAAGGAGAAGAGAAUACCUAUGUGAGAACACAACAAGCAGCAUGGCGGAUUCAGAAGAUCCUUUUCUUAACAAGGCAAAGGCAGAUCAAACUGGUAACUGCAUUGUAAAAGUUAACUCAGGCAAACAUUACUUCUGUGGUUAUUGUGCAGCCAUUACAAAUGUUGCAGUAACUUUCCCAAUCCAGAAAGUCCUCUUUCGUCAACAGCUCUAUGGGGUACGAACCAGAGACGCAAUAUGUCAGCUACAGAAAGAUGGAAUCAGAAAUUUGUACCGAGGUAUCCUUCCUCCGCUCAUGCAGAAGAGCACAACCUUAGCGUUGAUGUUCGGCCUAUAUGAAGACUUGUCUUCCGUGCUCCUCAGACACAUAAGUGCUCCUGAAACCUUUGCCCGGAGCUUAGCAGCUGUGCUUGCUGGGACCACAGAAGCCGUCUUGACCCCUUUUGAGCGUGUGCAGACACUUCUGCAGGACUACAAACAUCAUGACAAAUUUACAAAUACCUACCAAGCAUUCAGAGUUCUCCGAGAGCAUGGAGCCAGGGAAUAUUACCGGGGCUUGGUGCCAAUCCUACUUCGGAACGGUCCUAGCAAUGUUCUCUUUUUUGGCCUGCGAGGACCCAUCAAGCAGUGCCUGCCAGAAGCAACAACUUACAGUACUCACCUGAUCAAUGAUUUUAUAUGUGGAGGGGUAUUGGGUGCUAUGUUGGGGUUUAUGUUUUUCCCUGUGAAUGUUGUAAAAGCCCGCAUGCAGUCACAGAUUGGUGGGGAAUUCCAGUCUUUUUCCACAGUCUUUAUGAAGAUUUGGCUGGAGCGUGACAGGAAACUGACGCAUCUCUUCCGAGGGGCCCAUCUAAAUUAUCACCGGUCCCUAAUUUCUUGGGGAAUAAUUAAUGCAACUUAUGAAUUCUUGCUUAAAUUACUAUAAUUGGUUACUCAUUUUCUCUCUUCAAUUGAGCAUCGGACAAUCCUGAGCUGUCAGUUUCCAGGAUAUAGUGAGAAAACACUCGCAAGUAUCUCUGACUCCAUAACGUUUGAGAAACUAAACUGCCAACAAAUGGUAGUUUCAGUUGGUAUGGAUAUCAGUUAUUUAAACAGUGCCUGACUAGUUCAAAAUAUAAUUGUAUUCACUCUUGUUCUUGGCCUUCCAAUCUAUGGAUGUGGCAGCUGUAGGACUAAGACAAUUAACUGAGACGUUUCCUGAAAUAUAAAGUCUGUGAGCAUAAUAAAAGCAUAACUAUGAAAAUUUGCUGCAGGUCACCUUCAGCUAUACUAAACCAACACUCCUGGUGAUCCAAAGAAUGCACUUCGUAGAAAAUAGCAGAGCAAAAAACCUGAUAUUUAAUUUGUUGCUUGACCAUUUGUAACAAAUGGUAGCAUUUUUGUAAUAAGUGGACCUUGAGUUUCCAUGAAGCUUCAUGUCCCCCCUCUUGUUUUUUUUUAUUAUGAUGAUGAAUAUUAUUGUACUUUGAAAAGAGACUGCCAAAUGUAGAAGAGAAAACUCUUGUCCUAAAACAGGUUCCAAGUAGUUUUGGAGCAGUAGUGAUGCAAAUGGCAUCUUGCCAAAAUUAAUAUUAAAUUUUAGAAACUGUUGGAUAGAUCUCUACUGUUAAAUAGUGGGUGUUGACUGUGGAGGAAAGAGUGAGAAAAGCACUGAAAAGCUUUAAAAUAUUCAUCUUGCACUGUCACUGAAUUUUUCAAUGUUAAUUAGUGUUUAAAUUAUUAUUUUUGGUGAAAUAUUCUAAUCUGGGGUUGUGGUUUCUUUUACACACAUACACACGCACACUAGACACCCUUUUCAGGUUUAGAAAUUUUGAUACAAAUCACAAUUGGUGCAAACCAAAAGUAAACAAGAUAAAAUUCCAGGUACUAUUUAGUGGUACAGUACAACUGAUUAACACAACUCUGCAGAAUUUUUGCAUACCAAAAUGAAAUGUUUAUUGCCAUUUUUCACGGUAUUUUAAUCUGUUGAAAAAAUUACAAAGUUUUUCACACCACUCAGGAGUGUUCACGUGGAAGAUACACGAGUUUGCAAAAGGCUAGCUUGCCCUUUGCUUUUCCUUUCAUGUAGAUUCGUCUUCAUACAAGAAAAACUGGCAUAAGAGAUUCAUCCACUUUUAAUUAGUGACAAAAUUGCCUAAAUCCCUUCUUUAUAUAUAGCCUGUCCAUUCACAGUCUAUGAACUUGUGUGAAGGACCAUGCAUAUAUUAAAAAAGAAGGGACAAAAAAAGUCUCUGCAAAUAUUACACAGGGCGUCUGUGAAUUUUUAAUCAUGCCAACAAACAUACAUGUGUACAAAAUAGUAAGCAACGGUUGGGUUAGCAAGAGGAAAUUCAGCCAAAAUAAUCAUUUUGGGUGGGAGAUUUUGUGCAAAUAGGCGGUAAUACUUCCUAUUUAUGAUUUACAGGAAAGCUCUCCCAAACUGUUGAUUAUUCUCCAAGUGUUAGAAUUAUUUUCUUAAAAUUUAGAUAACAGUAGGUUUGAGAUGGUAGGGAUUUUACUUUAUUUUGCCUAUUGUCCCUCCCCCUACAAGAGUGCCCCAAAUCAAAUAUUAAUUGAUCUUCUAGAUUUCUUGAUGCUUAGGAUACUUAGCUUCACAGUUGGAUUGCCAAGCACAAAUGAAAGAAUGCUUACUAUUUUGAAUGUUGUAAUUAUAUAUAAAUAUAUAUAUGUAUAUAUAUAUAUUAUAAACAAAAUGUCUGUUGAGAAACAGUGUGCCAGAGGGAUUUUUUUUUUUUCUGGUAACUUCCUUUGGUGGAAUAAAUACAAGUAAAUCCAGUUUCCUGAAAUGAAUGUUCUGUAAUAGUGUUUUGUUUUUCCCUGAACAUAAAGUCAGAGAAUAUUUGUAGGUAUGCCCUAGUCAUUGUCUGCCCACUAUGUAUGGCUGGGAUCUCAGGCCAGUCUUCCCACCCAGCCCAACAGAACAACCUUUAGUGAAACUGCAAAGAAUAUGAGGUCAUAUUUAAAAAUAGUAGGGUUACAAGAGCAGUAUUUAAAAAAAAACCUGGAUCAAUGGGGAAAGAAGGUUCAACUACCCCCAUCCUAUGACUAUUAUGAUUCUAGUGGGGAGAUGUGGUUGAAUGAAUGGUGAUGUGUGUGUUUUGGCUGUGUAUGUGUAAUUUCAGUUCUGCCCAUUCAUGCAACCAUCCAAAACAUUCUGUGGAGACCAGUGAACUUCUAUGAGGAGAAAAAAAGUACUUUCCUCUGCCCUAACAAUAAUCUUUAAUUCUUAAAUCAGGUCAAAGGAAAAUGAUGUCUUUUCAUUAGUGGCAGAUUUUUCUGUAUCUUGUCCAGGGAGGCUGUGGAGAUAAUGUAACUUAACUUUGCAUAUAGAAUUUUAUUUUUUUAACCUGUAAAAUUACAGGAAGUCCUAAACAAAUCCUGCCCAGUGUUGAGUGUUGAUAUUGCCUUGUUUCUUAAUCUUACUUUGGAUAUAUCUGCUGUCUUACGGCUAGCAGAUAUUAUAGUCAAGUUGCAUGUAAAACUGAGGCAAGUUUCUUUGUUAAAAAAAA